RNAcentral lists this long non-coding RNA (2227 nucleotides) under Marmota monax (woodchuck). The record is from RNAcentral. Lineage: Eukaryota; Metazoa; Chordata; Mammalia; Rodentia; Sciuridae.
UGGGGAUUGAACCCAGGGCCUUGUGCAUGCAAGGCAAGCACUCUACCAACUGAGCUAUAUCUCCAGGCCCCAAAACUAAGAUUUAAUUAUCCUAUUAGACACAAAUAAUUAUAACUACCUCUAGCCUGGGAAAAUGUACAAAAGCAUAAUACCUGUAUAAGCUUCAUUCCCCUACUAACUAAGCAGCUUGGCCUUAAAUUUCAAGAUGCCUUCUAUCUACCACUCUUUUAUUGUCAUGCUAUAUUGGUAAAGGUAGAUCUCACCAUUAUGACAAAAGUGUCUGUGAAAGGCAAAUUAGAAUGGGUAAGUCCUUAGAGAUUUGUUUCUACAUUUUAAAAAAAGAAAAGAAAAAUCAGUUAUGGUCGUGGAUGCCAUUAAUUAAGCAGCUUGGGAAGCUGAGGCAGGAUGAUCACAAGUUUAAGGCCAGUCUGGGCAACUUAGCAAGACUCGUCUAAAAAUAAAAAAAGACUGGGAAUGUGGCUCAGUGGUAUAAUGUCCCUGGAUUCAAUCCUCAGUACUGAAAAAAUAUAAUGAGAUCUGAAGAAGUCAACAGUUUAACCAAAGUCAAUGGGAAUUUCAUGGCAGUACUGGAGCUGGACUUUGUUGACUGCUCUUCUCUAUACAAUAUGGCCCUUAAAUUCUUACUUUUAGGAAGUUUAUUACCACACUGAUAAUAGCCAAAGUGUGUACUAAGAAUGGAAAUAGCAAGACAAAAGAGUAGAAUAUCAAAUAUUAGAUAACAUAAGUAGAUCCAGGAGACAGAAAAAAAUAAACUGGAGAUACCUUAGAAUUACAUGCCCAGGUUCAAAGGAUUAUCAAAAACAAUUCUGAACAAUCUAAAAUGGAUCGGAAAGUAAUUAUCAGUUGUCUUCAUUCAGCACCCUCGCCUUCCAUUGAAUUUUUGUAGUUUCUGCUUCCCAAAUAGCAAGCUUCAUUAUUUUAGUGGAGUGACAGGUCCUUAUCACCUAUGUGGAUUGGGCUUUUUACAAACCCUUUUCCUUCACAGGAACUUCAGUGUAGCCUUUGCCCAGUACAUCCACCAUAUUGCUACGGCUGUCAGAGUGAGCAGUCAAAAACUCAUUGUAUCAGUUCUCUUAAAUUUUUCCAUGACUCCUAAUUACCAACAAAAUAAAAAUUAUAGUGUUUUUUGCAAGCAAGCCUGUGCUAGCUGUAUAUCUCACCUUUUCCUAGAGCACUGCUGCCACCUCUUUACCUUGUCUAGAAUCUUGCAUUUUCCUUAAAUUCAUUGGUUCUCUUGAAGUUCUUUUGAGACUUCUUCCUGCUCUCCCACCUUCCAUGUCUUGAACCAGGAAUAAAAAUUGACAUUCUUGUAACUUCUCACUACGAUAUCCAAACCAAUCUACAUUGAGGCUUUCACCAUUAAGCCAUGUAAUCUCCAUUCCUUCACUGUUAGGGAGAAGAUUUUUGACAAGUGUGCUAUCAUCAGCUUAAGUUGCUUCAUUGUCCACUGUGACCUUAACACCAGUAUAAAAGCCUUUCAUUACUGCUGCUGUUCAUUUCUGGGACCAUAUCUUGCACUUUGUUCUCCUGAACUGUUCUGAAUAUCAGCAGCCAUGGCAGUUCAUGUUCUAAACAAAUCCUUCUUUUAUUUCAGAUUUCUUAGUCCUUUGCACUCACCAAACCUGCUCUUCAACUUCAGUGAAAUCUGCUGGCUUACAGUUUUCCUAGUUCUCCAAGUCUGUUCCCCUUCACUGGAUUUACUUCUUCCCAUUCUAUCCUGGACCCUACAGUCAUUUAUUUCAAACUCAAGUCUUUUCAACACUUUUCAAUGUCUCUCUCCUUCCACAUUGACCCUAAAACAGACCUUAACUACAGGUCAGUUUCUUCCUUACAUCCUUGCCCCUUAUGUAUAGAACUAUUAACCAUUAGUGCAUCAUAAAUUAUCCCAAAUUUUAGGGGCUUAACAACAUUUAAUAUGUGUAUUAUAAAUUUCAUACUGUUUUUGCAAUUUCUGUUGGAAUCAAAAGUGGCUUAGCAUAGGGCAGAGGGGUGGGAAGGAAAGGGAAGGGGCAGGGGAUUAGCAAGGAUAGUGGAAUGUGUUGGACAUCAUUAUCCAAAGUACAUGUAUGAAGACACAAAUUGGUGUCAACAUACUUUAUAUACAACCGGAGAUACGAAAAAUUGUGCUGUAUAUGUGUAAUAAGAAUUGUAAUGCAUUCGCUGUCAUUUAAUUUUUAGAAAAAUCAAUAAAAAAAUAAAUCGAAAC